Molecule: unclassified non-coding RNA, 264 nt
Filed under: Hevea brasiliensis (rubber tree)
Lineage: Eukaryota; Viridiplantae; Streptophyta; Magnoliopsida; Malpighiales; Euphorbiaceae
Source: RNAcentral
UCCUUGUCGUCAAUGAAUCCCGAGACUUUGCUGUAAGCGUCUUAUGUGCUGCAGCAAGAACGGGGAACACAUCUGGGAUAAGUGAGGCAUUGAGUAGAGCAACUUCAGGUUCUAGUGUUCCAGCCUGCAUGGAAUCCAGCAGUUCCUUGGAAUUGGUGACAUCUGCAAAGAGAGCGAGAGAAAGGUUGUUUCCAUUGAUAUCGAAAACCUUCAUGGUUGGCUAGCGCUCGUAGUUAGCAGCGGCUGCACUUGGGGCGGUGGUUU